ACGAACGCUGGCGGCGUGCUUAACACAUGCAAGUCGAACGGAAAGGCCCCUUUGGGGGUACUCGAGUGGCGAACGGGUGAGUAACACGUGAGUAACCUGCCCUUGACUUCGGGAUAACUUCAGGAAACUGGGGCUAAUACCGGAUAGGAAUCCUUGCUGCAUGGUGGGGGUUGGAAAGCUUCGGCGGUUUUGGAUGGACUCGCGGCUUAUCAGCUUGUUGGUGGGGUAGUGGCUUACCAAGGCUUUGACGGGUAGCCGGCCUGAGAGGGCGACCGGCCACAUUGGGACUGAGAUACGGCCCAGACUCCUACGGGAGGCAGCAGUGGGGAAUAUUGCACAAUGGGCGGAAGCCUGAUGCAGCAACGCCGCGUGCGGGAUGACGGCCUUCGGGUUGGAAACCGCGUUCAGCAGGGGCGAAGCUUGUGGUGACGGUACCUGCAGAAGAAGCACCGGCUAACUACGUG
Molecule: ribosomal RNA, 464 nt
Filed under: uncultured bacterium
Lineage: Bacteria
Description: partial 16S ribosomal RNA
Rfam family: Bacterial small subunit ribosomal RNA
Source: RNAcentral